Long non-coding RNA from Bos taurus (domestic cattle), 503 nucleotides. The record is from Ensembl. NCBI's taxonomy places the organism in Eukaryota, Metazoa, Chordata, Mammalia, Artiodactyla, Bovidae.
GUGUAUAAAAGUAGACCAUGGAAAAUAAAGAAUUGGGAUCAGUUUCUCGAAGUACUGGUCUCCCCAUGUCGCUCUCUCUCUCACUCUGGCUGAGUCUCCAUCUGGAGCGUGGAACCCGCCAUGCUUACUAAUUUUGCCUGGGCUUCUAAGAUCCAACCAGGGAGGCCUCAGUGUCUCCUUUCCUUCGGGAGAACGGAAGGACGCCUGCGGCCUAUUCAAAAGUUUUGGGUGACCAUAAAAGAACCCAGAGCAGAUUUCUCUCCUUCUCCACAACUCUAUGAGAGUCCAGAGCCAUGGUACCAGCAAGGGACCCUUAUGUCCAUCUGCCUCCUCGUCAAGUCCAAGUAACUCACGGACAUUUCUGAAGGUCAUGAAACCAGGCACAGUGCCAAGUAAGCACAAUGAUAUUCUCCAUUACAGAAACUAACAAUCAAGCUUGACAGCAGUCCUGUUGUUCUCCUGGUUUACUACUGAGUUCUAUCUUUGCAAGCAAAGUGGAGUAA